RNAcentral lists this ribosomal RNA (733 nucleotides) under Clostridioides difficile. RNAcentral describes it as "partial 23S ribosomal RNA". It matches the Rfam family "Bacterial large subunit ribosomal RNA", at positions 1918 to 2649 of the family's 2925-position model. The record is from RNAcentral. Lineage: Bacteria; Bacillati; Bacillota; Clostridia; Peptostreptococcales; Peptostreptococcaceae.
CCCCAGUAAACGGCGGCCGUAACUAUAACGGUCCUAAGGUAGCGAAAUUCCUUGUCGGGUAAGUUCCGACCCGCACGAAAGGCGUAACGAUUUGGGCACUGUCUCAACAACAGACUCGGUGAAAUUGUAAUUCCGGUGAAGAUGCCGGAUACCUGCGACAGGACGGAAAGACCCCAUGGAGCUUUACUGUAGCUUGACAUUGGGUCUUGGUACUACAUGUACAGGAUAGGUGGGAGGCUUUGAAACCAGGACGCCAGUUUUGGCGGAGCCAUCCUUGGGAUACCACCCUUGUAGUACUGGGACUCUAACCAUAGGCCAUGAAUCUGGUCUUGGGACACUGUCAGGUGGGCAGUUUGACUGGGGCGGUCGCCUCCCAAAAGGUAACGGAGGCGCUCAAAGGUUCUCUCAGUACGGUCGGAAAUCGUACGUAGAGUGUAAAGGCAAAAGAGAGCUUGAUUGCAAGACAUACAGGUCGAGCAAGGAUGAAAAUCGGACUUAGUGAUCCGGUGGUUCUGCGUGGAAGGGCCAUCGCUCAACGGAUAAAAGCUACCCUGGGGAUAACAGGCUUAUCUCCCCCAAGAGUCCACAUCGACGGGGAGGUUUGGCACCUCGAUGUCGGCUCAUCACAUCCUGGGGCUGUAGUAGGUCCCAAGGGUUGGGCUGUUCGCCCAUUAAAGUGGUACGCGAGCUGGGUUCAGAACGUCGUGAGACAGUUCGGUCCCUAUCCGUCGCA